ACGCUCGACACCUACGGGAGCAGCAGUCGGGAAUAUUGCGCAAUGGAGGAAACUCUGACGCAGUGACGCCGCGUAUAGGAAGAAGGUUUUCGGAUUGUAAACUAUUGUCGUUAGGGAAGAGAAAGGACAGUACCUAAGGAGGAAGCUCCGGCUAACUACGUGCCAGCACGCCGGACGGUAAUCUGGACGGCCGGGCGUGGACGAAGGC
This 208-nucleotide ribosomal RNA is filed under the name uncultured bacterium. RNAcentral's name for it is "partial 16S ribosomal RNA". It matches the Rfam family "Bacterial small subunit ribosomal RNA", at positions 328 to 545 of the family's 1533-position model. The record is from RNAcentral.